Molecule: long non-coding RNA, 983 nt
Organism: Neofelis nebulosa (Clouded leopard)
Lineage: Eukaryota; Metazoa; Chordata; Mammalia; Carnivora; Felidae
Exons: 2
Source: RefSeq, a predicted model, not a curated record
AUAAUCUUUGGAAAGAAAAGAAAGGUAAGAAAGGAGCUACUUGUAAAGGGAACAAUUCAGUUAACUGGUCAGUUGUUUUGUAUACACAAGAUUGAAAAAAACUUUCCUUGAUUGCUUUUCACUGAAUAGACUUGGUCACUUUACCAUGAAUGUGGGUACGUUCUAAUCCUCUGAGUGGUGAGCUGGAUUUUUCUCUAAAUAGAAUCAAGUAAGCACAGAAACAAAAACAAAGAUAGAGAAACAGAAAAAACAAUAGCAACAGCAAUAACCUGCUUCAAGGACUGACCUAACCCAGGACCACAGGCUUUAUUUGCAGGGUAGUAGGUGCAUGAGCUCCCUGGAAAUCACACCUCAAUAUGACCUCUAUAGGUGCUGCUUUUUGUGUUGGGCCCAGGAAACGAUAAGGUGAUGGCUUAGUUUCUGGAAUCAGAGCAGCAGCUAAAUGAGUUGUUUCAGUCCUGUGUGGGGUCCACCUCUAGCACCAAAACUGAGCAUCUUAGCUAGUUCUUCACUCAGCUGCACAUGCACCGAGCCUAGACAAGAUGCGGUUACAUAAGACAGGGAUGUCCUGAGCCCCACCUAUUGGUGCUUAUGACCUAACAAAGACACAGGAAGGCUUAUGCAUGAGAAACAAGCAGAGUUGGAUACAGUCACACACUGGAUUGGGAGGAACAGCCUGAGCUCAUGGGAAGAACAUUGGUCAACAGCCAAGGAGAGAGGAGAGUCAUCAGAUGCUACACCACAGGAGUGGCACUUGAUGAACAAAACAGCCAAUGGGGGAAACCAGGAAGAAGGACCUUGGGUUUUGUGAGGUGCCACUGAGGUACAAGACAUUGACGCUCUGAUGAUGUGGUGAAGUGGAAGAGACUCCGCAAAGCCACACUGCUAUCCUUUUCACUGUUCCCCAUUGAAACCCUCUUGAUUCUAUCAUUUUCAAAAUGGCAACUGGGGCACCUGGUUGGCUCAGUCAGUUAAGCGUCCAA